GUCAGCUUACCCUAUGGACGAGGAUAAUCUCGGGAAACUGAGCAUAAUACUCGAUAGAUCAUAAUGCCUGGAAUGGUUUAUGGUUGAAAUGAUUCGUCGCCAUAGGAUGGGACUGCGGCCUAUCAGCUUGUUGGUGAGGUAAUGGCCCACCAAGGCGAUUACAGGUACGGGCUCUGAGAGGAGAAGCCCGGAGAUGGGUACUGAGACAAGGACCCAGGCCCUAUGGGGCGCAGCAGGCGAGAAAACUUUGCAAUGUGCGAAAGCACGACAAGGUUUGUCCGAGUGAUUUCUGCUAAAGAGAUCUUUUGCUAGUCAUAAAACCACUGGUGAAUAAGGGGUGGGCAAGUUCUGGUGUCAGCCGCCGCGGUAAAACCAGCACCUCAAGUGGUCAGGAUGAUUAUUGGGCCUAAAGCAUCCGUAGCCGGCUUUGUUAGUUUUCGGUUAAAUCCAUGUGCUUAACUCAUGGGCUGCCGAAAGUACUG
This 482-nucleotide ribosomal RNA is filed under the name uncultured Candidatus Nitrosopumilus sp. RNAcentral's name for it is "bacterial SSU rRNA". It matches the Rfam family "Archaeal small subunit ribosomal RNA", at positions 103 to 586 of the family's 1478-position model. Lineage: Archaea; Thermoproteati; Nitrososphaerota; Nitrososphaeria; Nitrosopumilales; Nitrosopumilaceae. The record is from RNAcentral.